RNAcentral lists this ribosomal RNA (690 nucleotides) under uncultured bacterium. RNAcentral's name for it is "bacterial SSU rRNA". It matches the Rfam family "Bacterial small subunit ribosomal RNA", at positions 28 to 719 of the family's 1533-position model. The record is from RNAcentral.
AUUGAACGCUGGCGGCAUGCCUAACACAUGCAAGUCGAACGGUAACGCGGGGGCAACCCUGGCGACGAGUGGCGGACGGGUGAGUAAUACGUAGGAAUCUGCCCAUUUGUGGGGGAUAACCCGGCGAAAGCCGGGCUAAUACCGCAUACGCUCUACGGAGGAAAGCGGGGGAUCGUAAGACCUCGCGCUAAUGGAUGAGCCUACGUCGGAUUAGCUAGUUGGUAGGGUAACGGCCUACCAAGGCGACGAUCCGUAGCUGGUCUGAGAGGACGAUCAGCCACACUGGGACUGAGACACGGACCAGACUCCUACGGGAGGCAGCAGUGGGGAAUAUUGGACAAUGGGGGCAACCCUGAUCCAGCAAUGCCGCGUGUGUGAAGAAGGCCUGCGGGUUGUAAAGCACUUUCAGAGGGGAAGAAAAAGUCGGAGCUAAUACCUCCGAUCUUGACGUUACCUUAGAAGAAGCACCGGCUAACUCCGUGCCAGCAGCCGCGGUAAUACGGAGGUGCAAGCGUUAAUCGGAAUACUGGCGUAAGCGCACGCAGGUGGCUGAGUCAGUCGGUUGUGAAAGCCCUGGGCUUAACCUGGGAAUUGCAGUCGAUACUACUCAGCUCGAGUAUGGGAGAGGGAAGUGGAAUUCCCGGUGUAGCGGUGAAAUGCGUAGAUAUCGGGAGGAACAUCAGUGGCGAA